GUAGGAUAGAAAUAAACUUUAUUAGUUAAAAGUUAAAGGAGGAAUUAAGAGAAUGAUUGGUUUCAUAGGUGAAAUUUGUUAAAUUAGUUAUUUCUUAUGUUAGAUAAUUGAAGCUUUGAAAAUUAGAAUUGAGACUAGGAUUAGAUACCCUAUUAUUUUAAUUGUAAAGGAAGUGAAUUUGAGUAGUAUUAGUUGAGUUCUUGAAACUCAAAGAAUUUGGCGGUAUUUUAGUCUUUUUAGAGGAAUCUGUCCUGUAAUCGAUAUUACACGUUAAAUGUUACUUAAUUUGGUAUAGCCAAUUUGUAUACCGCCGUCAUAAGAUCAUCUUUUUAGAGAAAGAAUUUUCUUAAUAUUGUAAGAUAGAAUGUCAGGUCAAGGUGCAGUUUAUAAUUAAGAAGGAGAUGGAUUACAAUAAAUUUAUUUACAUGGACUCUUGGUUGAAAGGUUAAGAUGAAGGUGGAUUUAAAGGUAAUUUUGUUAAAUUAUGAUAAGAUGAUUAAAGCUCUAGGAUAUGUACACAUCGCCCGUCACUCUCAAUAUUAAGAUGAGAUAAGUCGUAACAUAGUAGUUGUACUGGAAAGUGUAGCUAGAAAGUCAA
RNAcentral lists this ribosomal RNA (598 nucleotides) under Polysarcus denticauda. RNAcentral describes it as "partial 12S ribosomal RNA". The stretch from base 181 to 589 matches the Rfam family "Microsporidia small subunit ribosomal RNA", at positions 752 to 1303 of the family's 1311-position model. The record is from RNAcentral. Lineage: Eukaryota; Metazoa; Arthropoda; Insecta; Orthoptera; Tettigoniidae.